AUGCCAUCGUCUCAGGUUCCGAAGUUUUCAUCUCUGCCCGAUGAGUUGAGGGAUGGCCGUGGUGUUGAGGGUGCUGUGUUGGAGCGCGCUGAGCAUAUCUUAAGUAAUGUGUGUUCUGAGCUACAAAAGGUCCCACCAACAGUUGAGCGUCUGAGCUGUAUCAAUGGUAUCCUUCCUGAUGGUCAUCAAUUUAAUGCUGAGGAAGCUGUUGACUACAUUGAGAUGGAGAGAAUUUUAAUCGGUGAUAUGCGUGAUGGUGCCGCUAAUCUAGUUCAGAGCUCGGUUCGUCUAUUGAACAACAUGAAGCGUUUUAGAACUACGCAAAACUCUCGCUGCAAGCCAUAUGAAGAAAGUGCAAGUGUUGUUAUCAAGCAGUUUGAGCGGGAUGAGGCUGCUGCCACCGACAGUAGGGCUGGUGAUGGUACUAAGGCUAAUGUUUCUGAUCACGAAACGAAUGAUCUUGGCUUGGAGCGUCCUGAUGUUGAUAUUGAUCAGGAUGAGGCUACUGGCACUGAUAGCAGGGCUGAUGAUGGUACUGAGGCUAAUGUUUCUGAUCCGCAUACGAAUGAUGUUGGCUUGCAGCACCCUAUUGUUGAUGAGGCUAGUCAUAAUGUUGAGGCUGCUGUUGACCGUGGAGUUAAUGAUCCAUCCAUUGAUAAGUGCAAGGGUCCUAUUGUUGGCGAUGAGCCUUGUUUGCCCGUUGGUGAUGUUGCUUUGAAUGUUAGCAGCAGCAAGAUCGAUGAUGUUGCUAUGAAUGCUUCCAAGAUUACUGAUGUUGAGCGUGAGGUUGUCCUUAGUGGUGGAGAUGAUGCUCGUGGUGUUCCAUUGAGUAGUGGGCGCAAUGUUGGUAACAAAGUUGCUAAUGAGGAUGCUAGCGCUGCCAGCAUACUUGAUGCCAAAUCGCCUGGUGUUGGUAUUGCUGGGAAUGAAAAUGUUCCUGAUUGUGAAGAUUUGUCGCCGGAGAAUUUCCCGCCUGGAGGUCUUGAUUAUGGUGAUGCAUUGCAAGAUGCUUCUAGCAUGGAGGAGGUGCCAUCUGAGGAUGAUGAUUUACUUCUGUCAAUUUCUUUUGACCCCUCGACGCAGGAGGCGCUCUUGUCGUCCCAGGAUUUUCUUUCUACAGACCUUGAAAGCGCAACAAUAUUGGUGUCCUCUCAAGAUGUCCCAUCGUCAAACCCUAAAGCUGGAGGCAUAAUGGUCUCAUCACAGGAACUACCGUCGUCGUCAAACCUUGAUAGUCCAGAAAGUGGUAAUGUUGUUAAGGUUGAUACGUUUUUCUUCGCUGUUACGAGGUUGCGCACGAACCGUAUGAAAUGUCACAAGCUGAUGUUUCAAAAUAAAGAAUGUGAUGCCAGUGUUGGUUCUAUUGCUAAAGCGUUUGUCCCCACUGGCAUGCUCAACUCAGACAGUGCUGACGUUGUUUUAUAUUCUCUACGUCAGAAGUACCGAGACACUAACAAGUUGAUAGUUCCUAGAUGGACCAAGAUCCGUGAUGGAAAUAUUGAUUCCAUUGUGCUAAAUUGGUUCACGAGAUCAGGUCCUGAUGGUUUUAACCAAGAGGGUGAUGCAGUUAGAUUCUUAACGACUAUGACAAAUAAUAUAAAGAAGCUUUGGAUGGAGUCGAGUGUAGACAGGGCCAAACCGUUUUCGCCGGUGCAUAUUGAUGGUUUCUCUUGCGAGUUUGUGCGGGUGCCGCAGCAGGAAAACACGCAUGAUUGUAGAUUCUUUAUGCUACAAAACUGCAAGACCUAUCAUUGCCGGGAGGAUGGUGUAAUUGAAAUGUGGCUGGAUCUUGGUGAGAAUGACUAUAGGUUCUUUGGCAGCCAGUUCUCGGAGCUCGAGCGCGUAGCUAUUGAUCUUAGCCACGGGCGUUCUCCUGAAAAGACAAGAUCUGGUGUUAUGAAGGGGCGGUUGGGAGCUCUGAGAGGUAAUACGCCUGCUUGUGCAGAGAGCCCUACUACACCCAAGAACCCCAUUGUGGAAUUGAUAGACAGCGAUGAUGAUGUGUUUGACAAGAUUGCUGGCGUUGGAAGAGUCACGAGGAGCGUUGCUGCCAAAGGUUUAUCUCCCCUUGCUGGAAUAGUGGCUCGUAGAGCUGGUGGUGCUAGGAAAGAUCCUCCUUUGGAUUCUGGCAAUGUUGUAAGCACGAAGCGUGCGCCCAGAGCUCCUAUAAAGGUUUGCUCCCCUGUGCAGCAGCUUCACCCUCAUAAAUUCCCUCACCUGGACAAGGCUCGCAUGUUGUAUAAUCUGUUGCUUAGUGAUGAAUGGAGUGAGAAGUAUGCCGAGAAUACAUUCUCAAUGAUACCUCAGCCCGAUGAAAGCGUAACUAGCUUCACUGGGAAUCGCAUCUGGGAAGUUUUUUCACCUGGGCAAAUGAUGGAGGGUGAUGUUGUGCUUGACUGUUCAUUUUACGGUGAUGAAAAUAAAGUGUUUAAUGUGGAGAGUGCAACGAGAGAUUUCAAGAGCUAUGUUAAAGAUAAGGAAGACUUGCUUAGUGCCGACCUAAUCAUGAUUCCUCUAUUCAAGCCUAUGUUUUUAGCAAAGGAUAAGAAAUUGAACCACUAUUUGUUAUAUGUCAUGAAUCGGUACCGAAGUAGCGUUGACAUCCUUGACUCUUUACCUUAUCCAAAGAACCGCCGUCCUUCAAAGAACACCUAUCAUAAAGACUGCGAGAAGAUUAUUUCUAGAUUGGUCCAAGUAAUGAAGGCUGUGUAUGGUGAUGCUCAGUACAAUGCGAGCAAGCACCCCAAUUGGGACCUGCUUGCAAAGAAACCAACGUUAGUCAAGGUUCCACUUCAAGGGCCAAAUGAAUGUGGCCAUUAUACUCUGAAUUCUGCGGGAUCCUAUGAUGGUGAAAAGAUCGUUGAGAACAUUUUAGAUAAUGAUCCACACAUUGUUGACUGGAACGCUGAGGAUCUGUAUAGAGUUGUGUUCAACCGGAAUAGCCAGCUUGUGGUUACGGAGCUUCCCAAGGAGGUUCAGGCUUUGGCUCCUGAUGCAUAG
Molecule: ribosomal RNA, 3000 nt
Filed under: Triticum aestivum (bread wheat)
Lineage: Eukaryota; Viridiplantae; Streptophyta; Magnoliopsida; Poales; Poaceae
Description: partial small subunit ribosomal RNA
Source: RNAcentral